UGGUGGAGUGAUCUGUCUGGUUAAUUCCGUUAACGAACGAGACCUCGACCUGCUAAAUAGUUCGACGUACCCCUCGGGGUAUGGACGCGACUUCUUAGAGGGACUAUCGGUUCUUAGCCGAUGGAAGUUCGAGGCAAUAACA
Molecule: ribosomal RNA, 142 nt
Filed under: uncultured eukaryote
Lineage: Eukaryota
Description: partial 18S ribosomal RNA
Rfam family: Eukaryotic small subunit ribosomal RNA
Source: RNAcentral